This 253-nucleotide ribosomal RNA is filed under the name uncultured bacterium. Its description in RNAcentral is "partial 16S ribosomal RNA". It matches the Rfam family "Bacterial small subunit ribosomal RNA", at positions 524 to 776 of the family's 1533-position model. The record is from RNAcentral.
UACAGAGGGGGCAAGCGUUGUUCGGAAUUACUGGGCGUAAGGGGCGCGUAGGCGGCCUGCUAAGUCGAACGUGAAAUCCCUGGGCUUAACCCAGGAACUGCGUCCGAUACUGGCAGGCUUGAAUCCGGGAGAGGGAUGCGGAAUUCCAGGUGUAGCGGUGAAAUGCGUAGAUAUCUGGAGGAACACCGGUGGCGAAGGCGGCAUCCUGGACCGGCAUUGACGCUGAGGCGCGAAAGCCAGGGGAGCAAACGGG